GCGGAACUCACGGUGUAGGGGUGAAAUCCGUUGAUAUCGUGGGGAACACCAAAGGCGAAGGCAGCUUGCUGGGGCACAACUGACCCUGAAACACGAAAGCGUGGGGAUCAAAAAGGAUUAAGAGUGGCCACAAACAAGGAUACGAUGUAAAAAAUCGUAGGUGGCGCUAGUCCCCAUGCGCAGAGAUAUGCGCAUGGUUAAAAAAUUCAACUAUAUGCUGGAAAAUCCGAGUAUCUUUAAGUACUGCGAUUUAUCGCAGUGAAAAUCUUAAAGUGCGGACAAUCAGCAGGAAACUUCAAAAAGAACUAUUACUAAGAAAGGAGUGAAAACUAAUGCGUAAAAUAAAGAAGAGACCAAAGCGGAAGAUGAGACAGAAAAUGGAACGUACGGAAAGCAUUGAGAAUAGAUUCUCAAUAUAUUUUCAAGCUUGGGAUUCCAUACUCAAAGCGCUAAAGCCGCAAAAGGAACCAAAAGGCGGCUAUGUACGCAGUUCAGAAUACGAUCAUUGGUAAAGUUUUUAUUGAAGAAUCCUCAGAGACUAUACGUUGAACACAAGUUAAAUAAAUGGGCGAACGAGUUAAAACUUUAGUAGCCCAAGUAUUUUUCUUAUGAUGAUAUAGUCCGAACUCGCCAGCGAUGGCGAGAGACCGGCAGAAAUGUCCGGUCCAACUCAAGAACCCGCCAAAAGCUAACGCAUUUAGGCGGGCAAGUCGGUGCUAAUUUUUGGAAAAAAAAGAGGUUAUUUGUUUGACCUCUGAUUGAGAUAUGUCUUUAGCCAGAAUUUCCAGUUGAUCAUGACAUAGAAAACCAAUACGACAAGGAUGGCCUUACCUACUAUAAUGGGAAAUUCAUACAUAUAUUGUCCUCCUUCUGAUUAAAGUCUAGCAUAGAGACAUAUUUUUAUCAAGCUCUAAUCUUGACCCCGCAAAAAAGAGCGGGGCAGGCUCCAAAAAUUAGCACCGAUUAUCAAAUCUUGAGCACUUGGGUGUCCGACACCCAAGUUAGUAACAAAAUGUAGAUACCCUUGUAGUCCACGCCCUAAACGAUGAUGACUAGCCAUUGGAAGUAUCGACCCUUCGAGUGGCGAAGCUAACGCGUUAAGUCAUCCGCCUGGGAAGUACGAACGCAAGUUUAAAACUCAAAGGAAUAGACGGGGACUCGCACAAGCGGUGGAGCAUGUGGUUCAAUUCGAUGGUAAACGAAAAACCUCACCAGGGCUUGAAAUUCCGACGAUAAGUCCCGUGAAAGCGGGAUGUCUCACAAGGACGUCGGAACAGGUGCUGCAUGGCUGUCGUCAGUUCGUGGCUUGAGCUGUUCCCUUAAGUGGGGUAACGAACGCAACCCCUGCCCCGUGUUAUACGUGUCACGGGGGACUACUCUGAUUUUCGGAGGGGAAGGUGGGGAUGACGCCAAGUCAGCAUGGCCCUCUGAUGCCCUGGGCUACACACGUGCUACAAUGGGACGUACAAUGGGCCGCAAUACCGAGAGGUGGAGCUAAUCCCUUAAAACGUCCCCCAGUUCAGAUUGAGGUCUGCAACUCGACCUCAUGAAGACGGAAUCGCUAGUAAUCGCAGGUCAGCUAUACUGCGGUGAAUACGUUCUCGAGUCUUGUACUCAC
RNAcentral lists this ribosomal RNA (1618 nucleotides) under Candidatus Giovannonibacteria bacterium RIFCSPLOWO2_12_FULL_44_25. RNAcentral's name for it is "bacterial SSU rRNA". It matches the Rfam family "Bacterial small subunit ribosomal RNA", at positions 661 to 1390 of the family's 1533-position model. Lineage: Bacteria; Candidatus Giovannoniibacteriota. The record is from RNAcentral.